Macrobrachium nipponense is the source of this 2741-nucleotide long non-coding RNA. RefSeq lists it as uncharacterized. NCBI's taxonomy places the organism in Eukaryota, Metazoa, Arthropoda, Malacostraca, Decapoda, Palaemonidae. The transcript is spliced from 4 exons. The record is from RefSeq and is a predicted model, not a curated record.
AGCGCGGGAAAUCUUAGCUCCGCAGACACGUUCAGUUCAGAGCUAUUGCACUAUGUUGCAUAAUGCGUAAAUGUUAUAAGCAUAACCAAUUAUUAUUGUGUAAGUAUCGAGUCCGACACAGAGGCUUCGAUCUUAUCAAUUCUACCUCAUGUAUGCAGGAUAUGAUUCUUUAUUGUGUAUAGACCUUCGAUGCUCAUAUGUUUGUUAUGAUUCUAUUAUAUACGCUUAUUGUAUUUUGUAUAUUCAACUACCCGCCUUCUUCAAUGUAGUUUAAGCCAAUAAACACCAGCAACAAGACAUUGCUUUAUUAUCGCCCUUCAUCCCGGAACCUCGGCGACGAGAAAUGGAAUAUUACCUCCAAUACUAAAACACCAUCUUUCCCUCUACCUACAGAAAGCUAUCUCUGCUCCCAUUGGCUGCCUGGAAUUUACUCCCCACAAGGAUUGGGCAUUGCUUACCGGGAGAAGUCUUAACAGCAGGGACCCAGCAGUUCAUCCUCAGAAGCACCACAGAGCUCAGAGCACUCAGAACCUCCUCAGACAUUGCCCUGCAGACACCACUUCACCCUUCCUGCUCCCCCUGCCUUCUCUGGGGAAGUCCCAAGUAUUUUUAUACUUCCAUAGUGCACAAAAAUAUCAGCAGAUAAGAAGACUACCAAGCCCAGGAUUUCCAGACAAACACCAUACCUGAUUGUGGGAGAACUUGGGAACCCUUUGGAGUAAGCCUUACACUUUCAAUAACCCGUUUGCGCAAAAUUCUGUACGCCGUGUCUGGUUGCCCCCAGCCACGUGUUAAGUUGCUGUAUCAAUGUAUCCUCCCCUUCAAACCAAGACUUGAGAAGUUGGGAAUAUAAAAGAAGCCAAUUACUGUAAAAGGACUGUUGAAGACAGAGGAAGAGAUAAGAAUAUAAGGAACUCAAAGAUGCUAGAUUGCAGAAACAAAAACAUUUGAUAAGUGCCAUCCUUCUCCCCAUUCCUCCAUAUGACGAUAUCCCUAAAAGGUGCCGAUCUCGACACGCUUACAUCAAAUAAACUUCGACAGCAGUUAAAGGAGAAACAAAAUAGGUGUUGAAUUUUCAAGUAAGAAGAAGGAUAUCAAAACCUUAAUACGGACUGGUUGAUAAUGAGCAAGCUGAUUUCCAAUCUGAAGAGGUCUCAUAGAACAUUAUUAGGGGAACUUUAGUAUCUGGAGUUCAUUUGAUAGUAUUAAGACAGAAUUAUAUUAUGGUUCUUUAAUUACUUUAACAUUAUUCUGAUGGUUAGGGAGGAAAAAGUGGUUAUGAAUUAGGUUUGAAUUCUUUAGGGGGUCGUGGUAGGCAGCGACGUCAGGGGGCCGAGCAGGCCCACGUGUGCGGCGCGACGAGUCGGGUGGGUAAAGCAGGUCCCUCGGUGUAGCAACGGCGUCGGCAGGCAGGGGAGGCCCACAGGCAGCGACGUCGGGUGGGUAAAGCACGUCCCUGGCUUAUAGCAGCAGUGUCGGCAGGCAGGGGAGGCCCACAGGCAGCGACGUCGGGUGGGUAAAGCACGUCCCUGGCUUAUAGCAGCAGUGUCGGCAGGCAGGGGAAGCCCACAGGCAGCGACGUCGGGUGGGUAAAGCACGUCCCUGGCUUAUAGCAGCAGUGUCGGCAGGCAGGGGAAGCCCACAGGCAGCGACGUCGGGUGGGUAAAGCACGUCCCUGGCUUAUAGCAGCGGCGCCGGCAGGCAGGGGCUUUCAUCUGGGGACUCGCAGGUGCGGCAAUGGCGCCGGGGGAAAAACCGAGGAGGCCCGCAGUUGCGGCGGGUCGAGAAGAUAUCUGGUGUCCCCCAGGUGAGACAAAGGAGGCCGCGAGGUCGGAUGGAUGUUUCUGGACCGCCGCCUGACUUUUGUGUUGGGUGACCAGCACCCAACUACCCGUCCUCGAAAUAAACGCCAAAACACGCUGGGAAGCAGUGCCGUGAUUAGUCCGUUAAUGGCGUUGGUCGUCCUCGCAGUGGAGUUUUCAGAGACCUAAACUGUGGCGCCGUAUUGAGUCCGUUAAAGGUUCUCUGAAGGUGAGCGGCCGUAUUUAGUCCGUUAAAGGCUGGGCCUAAACCGCUUGUGUCGCCAACUCCGGGAGGUCACCAGUUGUGAGGACCAGAGAUUAAGACAGGUAGCUGGGUACUGAUAAUUUAUUUACAGACAAUCUGGGUUGACAUAGACAGGUGCGGACGGAUAUGUAGUGCAGUCUCGCACCGCAAACAGAAAUGACUCCGAGACGGUAAAUUUGUGUUUUCUUACAGACAUUCAUUUAGAUAUAAUAAAGCAUACAUAUAAUGGAAUUGCAAGUGUUAUACAUCAGCGAAAAGGCCGCGGAACGCUCUAUCGGAUGGAAGUAAGGACAAAGCGACUUGAUGAUUGGUUACGAUAAAAAUAGGGAAAAAGUGUUGUCCUUACAGUAGUAUUAAGUUAGGCCAAUUUGGGUAUAAGAGGAUAUGUUUUGAAGAAUUAUAGAGAUAAAAAAUGAAGUUUCCUUUCUGUAGUAUUAAGGAAAUAAAUUAGGUUGAGGAUCAUCAGAGUCAUUUUAUAACCUCCAAAUCUUUUCCCAUCCAGAACUAAACAUAUAUUAAGAGAAUCGAACAUCACAGAAAAUUGAAGAUUUCAUCUAUCCUCGAAAAUGAAACAGAACAUGAUGCUACGAGAACUUUAAGAUUGAAAAACUAAUAAUUUCAUAAUAUUUUUUCCAACAUUAAGAGAUGCAACACAGUGAGUUUUCUGUCCUGUC